This 85-nucleotide transfer RNA is filed under the name Felis catus (domestic cat). It matches the Rfam family "tRNA". Rfam says of the family: Transfer RNA (tRNA) molecules are approximately 80 nucleotides in length. Their secondary structure includes four short double-helical elements and three loops (D, anti-codon, and T loops). Lineage: Eukaryota; Metazoa; Chordata; Mammalia; Carnivora; Felidae. The record is from Rfam by way of RNAcentral. RNAcentral also lists the same sequence under 4 other names.
GCCUGGGUGGCUUAGUUGGUUAAGUGUCCGACUUCGGUUCAGGUUAUGAUCUCAUGAUUCGUGGGUUUUAGCCCCACAUCAGGCU